This 460-nucleotide ribosomal RNA is filed under the name uncultured bacterium. Its description in RNAcentral is "partial 16S ribosomal RNA". It matches the Rfam family "Bacterial small subunit ribosomal RNA", at positions 338 to 795 of the family's 1533-position model. The record is from RNAcentral.
CCUACGGGCGGCAGCAGUGAGGAAUAUUGGUCAAUGGGCGCGAGCCUGAACCAGCCAAGUAGCGUGAAGGAUGACUGCUCUACGGGUUGUAAACUUCUUUUAUAAAGGAAUAAAGUGAGGCAUGUGUGCCUCUUUGUAUGUACUUUAUGAAUAAGGAUCGGCUAACGCCGUGCCAGCAGCCGCGGUAAUCUGGAGGAUACGAGCGUUCUCCGGAUUUAUUGGGUUUAAAGGGAGCGUAGAUGGGUUGUUAAGUCAGUUGUGAAAGUUUGCGGCUCAACCGUAAAAUUGCAUUUGAUACUGGCAGCCUUGAGUACAGUUGAGGUAGGCGGAAUUCGUGGUGUAGCGGUGAAAUGCUUAGAUAUCACGAAGAACUCCGAUUGCGAAGGCAGCUUACUAAACUGCAACUGACAUUGAUGCUCGAAAGUGUGGGUAUCAAACAGGAUUAGAUACCCUUGUAGUC